GCCUACGGGACGCAGCAGUCGGGAAUAUUGCGCAAUGGAGGAAACUCUGACGCAGUGACGCCGCGUAUAGGAAGAAGGUUUCCGGAUUGUAAACUACUGUCGUGAGGGAAGAAGAUGACAGUACCUCAGGAGGAAGCUCCGGCUAACUAUGUGCCAGCAGCCGCGGUAAUACAUAGGGAGCAAGCGUUAUCCGGAAUUACUGGGUGUAAAGGGAGAGUAGGCGGCAAGGUAAGCGAUAUGUGAAAGCCUUAAGCUUAACUUAAGGAUGGCAUAACGAACUCUCUAGCUAGAGUACAGGAGAGGAA
Molecule: ribosomal RNA, 305 nt
Filed under: uncultured bacterium
Lineage: Bacteria
Description: bacterial SSU rRNA
Rfam family: Bacterial small subunit ribosomal RNA
Source: RNAcentral